UACGUAGGGUGCGAGCGUUAAUCGGAAUUACUGGGCGUAAAGCGCGCGCAGGCGGUCCUUUAAGUCAGGGGUGAAAGCCCAGAGCUCAACUCUGGAACGGCCUUUGAAACUAGAGGACUUGGGUACGGGAGAGGUGAGUGGAAUUCCGAGUGUAGAGGUGAAAUUCGUAGAUAUUCGGAAGAACGCCAGUGGCGAAGGCGACUCACUGGACACGUAUUGACGCUGAGGUGCGAAAGCGUGGGGAGCAAACAGG
This 253-nucleotide ribosomal RNA is filed under the name uncultured bacterium. RNAcentral describes it as "partial 16S ribosomal RNA". It matches the Rfam family "Bacterial small subunit ribosomal RNA", at positions 524 to 776 of the family's 1533-position model. The record is from RNAcentral.